This 625-nucleotide long non-coding RNA is filed under the name Struthio camelus australis. RNAcentral describes it as "lncRNA (ENSSCUG00000016923.1)". The record is from RNAcentral. Lineage: Eukaryota; Metazoa; Chordata; Aves; Struthioniformes; Struthionidae.
UCUCUUUCCAUGCGGUCACCCACCCCCCCCCCCCGUCUUUUUUUGUCUUUUUUUCUCCACACGUGCAGGCUGCCUGUGCCUCGGUCUGGAUGACUCUGGCUCCUCUGAGCAGGAGGGACUGCUCUCCCCCGCCGUGCCUUUCAGGCAGGCUAGCUCUGUGGGCGCACACAGUGUGCGUAGGGCGCUGUUUAGGAUGCUUGCCUCUGACAGGCAUGGUGGGACUGCUGCCUGCUUGACAUGCACCAUGGCCAGCUUGUGCUUUCGGAGAUCUCAGGAGCUUCAGAAGAAUGCAGAGCAACGUGCACCUGACAAAGCCUGGUUGCUUUUUCCAGCGCUUGGCCUCUGCAGUUUCCUACCUACUGUGUUUGAAGGAUUCCCUGCAGCCCCCUUCUUGAGACUUCCCUGGACCUUUCUCUGCAGUUCUUGUUUUUUGUCCAUCAUGGAGCUGGAUGCUCAAGAGCAGAGGAUCUAUCAACUGCAGACCAAGCGGAGGGAGAGACAGGCAGACCUGGAGCAGAAAUGCAGCCGGAUCCAGCAGCUCAGCCAGGACCUGGAGGCCAGCCACCAGCCGCAGGAGGAAGCUCAGAAGCAGAGCAGUGCAGCUUGGAACAAGCUGCCGUGGUGA